GCGUUACAAGUGGGCUCUGACCGGUAAGCGGUCAUGGCGAAAUGGGAUGAACCAUACGUCUGAAUAAGGUGCCGAAAUGUACUAUCACUGAUACCAUAAAGGGAGUCCAUGUAUUUAGACAGCAGGUCGGUGCCCCUAAAAGCAGGUAUCCGCUAAAGAGUGUGUUAAAACUCACCUGCCGAAUACUAGGGCCCCGAAAAUGAAUGGCGCAUAUAGUACUACCGAUCUCAGACAUCAGUUCUAUUGAACUGAGAGUAGGGGGAUGUGGACAUUUUUGUGAAGGUGCAAUGUGAGUUGGACUGGAAGAAUGUCUAUUACAGAUCCUAAUUGAAGUAGCGAUUAUCCAGGCUUGUAUCCUGGGGGCUGAUGAGGAGUAGGGUUUCUGGACAACUUAAACAGAUCCAGAGUUAGUCGAUCCUAAUCUCAAUAAUGGGAGAAAGGGAGUACAGUUGAUAUUCUGUAACUGACAACAGUUCGCGGCAACGCAUACUAUUUUUCUCCGCCAAUCUUAUACCGUUGGUAGGGAUCUCUUUCCUACAUGACAGUACUAAUACCCAGGGAAACUGGUCAUCAGGCGAACUGCGGCGUUCUGCUGGCAAAACAUAGCUUCGGUUAUGUCAAUGGCUAUUGGAUUGGUCCAUGAAGCGAAAAAUAGUUUACUGUGUCACUCGUACCGAUAACCGCAUCAGGUCUUCUAGGUAAGUAGCCUAUGGCCAUUGAGGCAUGAUAGUUCAGGGAAUUCGGCCAAUUAGAGCUGUAACUUCGGGAUAAAGCUUGGCUCUGAUGAAAAUCAGAACCGAUUGUUACGCGGAGAGCCCAACUGUUUAAUAAAAACGUAGUGUCGCGCUGUGGUAGUAUAGCCAGUGAACGCGACAUGAAUCCUGCUCAGUGCUGUGUCUGUUAAUAUGGUUCAAGCCAACGAAGCACCGGUAAAUAGCUGGGGGUAACUAUGACUCUUAUCAAAGUAGCGAAAUACCUCGUCACUUAAUUAGUGACCUGCAUGAACGGAGCUAUGAGGUUCUCACUGUCCCAAACUGUCUCUCAGCGAACCAACUGUAGUGGGAACGGUCACUAGAUAUCCAGCGGGGAAAGAAGACCCUGUAGAGCUUCACUUUGGUCUAGUCUUGUAUAGUUCCUGCGGGGGUGUAGACUAGGUGGGAGAGCAAUCGAUUCUGAAAAACCACUACCCUGUUUGGAAUUAUGCUUACCUAUCACAAGGAAUAGGACUAGAUAGAAAGUUUGGCUGGGGCGGCACACCUUCGAAAGAGCAGCGAAGGUGUCCUAAGUUGAGCUCAGUGAGGACAGAAAUCUCACGUUGAGGAUAAGGCCAAAAGCUCAAUUUACUGUGCCUUUUUGUACUAGGAUCAGUUACGAAAGUAAGGCCUAACGAUCCCUAAAUAGCCUCAGGUGCGUGAGGAUUGGGGUGACAGACAAGUUACCUCCGGGACAACUGGCUUGUGGCUGCUAAGAGAUCAAAUCAACGCAGCUUUUUGAUUCUUCGAUGUCGGCUCUUCCUAUCCUAGUGAUGUACAAGUUGCUAAGGGUCGGAUUGUUCACCCGUAUUAGGGAUCGUGAGCUGGGUUUAGACCGUCGUGAGCCAGGUUUGUUUUAUCCUACUGGAUAUAGCAUCAUGAUAGUAGAUUGAUUUAGUACGAGAGGAACUGUUGAUUAUGGCCUCUGGUUAGCGAUUAUCGGAAACGGUAUGUCGCGCAGCUACGCCGUCUGGGAUAAUGGCUGAAAGCCUCUUAAGCCAGAAGCCCAUCUAGAAAGUGAUGCACGUGAUGUUGGACCGAUACGAAUAAUCAUACUCAAAAGGUCCGCUUCAUAGGUAACCCAAUGUAGAAGACAUUGUGUGAACGAAGGUACUGUAAGCAGUGGAGUGGCAUUACGUCCACGACCUGUUGAGGUUCAGCUUCGCUUCUAGGUUUCC
Molecule: non-coding RNA, 1930 nt
Filed under: Trichomonas vaginalis G3
Lineage: Eukaryota; Parabasalia; Trichomonadida; Trichomonadidae
Description: Eukaryotic large subunit ribosomal RNA
Rfam family: Eukaryotic large subunit ribosomal RNA
Source: Rfam by way of RNAcentral